GGGCGCUUAGCUCAGCUGGAAGAGCGCAUGCCUUACACGCAUGAUGUCAGGGGUUCGAGUCCCUUAGCGCCCACCA
RNAcentral lists this transfer RNA (76 nucleotides) under Candidatus Cloacimonetes bacterium ADurb.Bin117. RNAcentral describes it as "tRNA-Val". It matches the Rfam family "tRNA". From Rfam's summary of the family: Transfer RNA (tRNA) molecules are approximately 80 nucleotides in length. RNAcentral also lists the same sequence under 2 other names. The record is from RNAcentral. Lineage: Bacteria; Pseudomonadati; Candidatus Cloacimonadota.